GACGAACGCUGGCGGCGUGCUUAACACAUGCAAGUCGAACGGAAAGGCCCUGCUUUUGUGGGGUGCUCGAGUGGCGAACGCGUGAGUAUCACGUGAGUAACCUGCCCUUGACUUUGGGAUAACUUCCGGAAACUGGGGCUCAUACCGGAUAGGAGCUCCUGCUGCAUGGUGGGGGUUGGUAAGUUUGGGCGGUUGGGGAUGGACUCGCGGGUUAUCAGCUUGUUGGUGGGGUAGUGGCUUACCAAGGCUUUGACGGGUAGCCGGCCUGCGAGGGUGAACAGCGACCAUGGGACUAAGAGAGGGCGCAGACUCCAACGGGAGGCAGUGGUGGGAAAUAUGACCCAGUGGGCGCGAGCGGGAGGCGGCAGCGCCCGGUGCGGAAUGACGGCUUGCGGGUUAAAAACCGCUUUCGGCUGAGACGAAGCGGGAGUGACGGUAAUGGGUAAAGAAGCACCGGCUAACUACGUG
Molecule: ribosomal RNA, 468 nt
Filed under: uncultured bacterium
Lineage: Bacteria
Description: partial 16S ribosomal RNA
Rfam family: Bacterial small subunit ribosomal RNA
Source: RNAcentral